RNAcentral lists this ribosomal RNA (466 nucleotides) under Vreelandella stevensii. Its description in RNAcentral is "partial 16S ribosomal RNA". It matches the Rfam family "Bacterial small subunit ribosomal RNA", at positions 338 to 795 of the family's 1533-position model. Lineage: Bacteria; Pseudomonadati; Pseudomonadota; Gammaproteobacteria; Oceanospirillales; Halomonadaceae. The record is from RNAcentral.
CCUACGGGUGGGCAGCAGUGGGGAAUAUUGGACAAUGGGCGAAAGCCUGAUCCAGCCAUGCCGCGUGUGUGAAGAAGGCCUUCGGGUUGUAAAGCACUUUCAGUGGGGAAGAAAGCCUUGGGGCUAAUACCCUCGAGGAAGGACAUCACCCACAGAAGAAGCACCGGCUAACUCCGUGCCAGCAGCCGCGGUAAUACGGAGGGUGCGAGCGUUAAUCGGAAUUACUGGGCGUAAAGCGCGCGUAGGCGGUCUGAUAAGCCGGUUGUGAAAGCCCCGGGCUCAACCUGGGAACGGCAUUCGGAACUGUCAGGCUAGAGUGCAGGAGAGGAAGGUAGAAUUCCCGGUGUAGCGGUGAAAUGCGUAGAGAUCGGGAGGAAUACCAGUGGCGAAGGCGGCCUUCUGGACUGACACUGACGCUGAGGUGCGAAAGCGUGGGUAGCAAACAGGAUUAGAUACCCCUGUAGUC